This 433-nucleotide ribosomal RNA is filed under the name uncultured bacterium. Its description in RNAcentral is "partial 16S ribosomal RNA". It matches the Rfam family "Bacterial small subunit ribosomal RNA", at positions 29 to 507 of the family's 1533-position model. The record is from RNAcentral.
AACGAACGCUGGCGGCAUGCCUAACACAUGCAAGUCGAACGAGACCUCCGGGUCUAGCGGCGCACGGGUGCGUAACGCGUGGGAACCUGCCCUUAGGUUCGCACUAACUCCCCGAAUGGGAUUCCAAUACCGGUUCAUGUCUUGGGACCAAAGAUUUAUCGCCUUUGGAUGGGCCCGCGUGGGAUUAGCUAGUUGGUAGGGUAAAAGCCUACCAAGGCGACGAUCCAUAGCUGGCCUGAGAGGAUGAGCAGCCACACUGGUACUGAGACACGGCCCAGACUCCUACGGGAGGCAGCAGUGGGGAAUAUUGGAAAAUGGGCGAAGGCCUGAUCCAGCAAUGCCGGGUGAGUGAUGAAGGCCUUAGGGUUGUAAAGCUCUUUUACCCGGGAUGAUAAUGACGGUACCGGGAGAAUAAGCACCGGCUAACUACGUG